RNAcentral lists this transfer RNA (88 nucleotides) under Planctomyces sp. SH-PL62. RNAcentral's name for it is "tRNA-Ser". It matches the Rfam family "tRNA". Rfam says of the family: Transfer RNA (tRNA) molecules are approximately 80 nucleotides in length. The record is from RNAcentral. Lineage: Bacteria; Pseudomonadati; Planctomycetota; Planctomycetia; Planctomycetales; Planctomycetaceae.
GGAGAGGUGACCGAGAGGCCGAAGGUGCGGCACUGGAAAUGCCGUGUACGGUAACACGUACCGAGGGUUCGAAUCCCUCCCUCUCCGC